Molecule: ribosomal RNA, 492 nt
Filed under: uncultured bacterium
Lineage: Bacteria
Description: partial 16S ribosomal RNA
Rfam family: Bacterial small subunit ribosomal RNA
Source: RNAcentral
AGUGAACGCUGGCGGUAGGCCUAACACAUGCAAGUCGAACGGCAGCACAGUAAGAGCUUGCUCUUACGGGUGGCGAGUGGCGGACGGGUGAGGAAUACAUCGGAAUCUACUUUUUCGUGGGGGAUAACGUAGGGAAACUUACGCUAAUACCGCAUACGACCUACGGGUGAAAGCAGGGGAUCUUCGGACCUUGCGCGAUUGAAUGAGCCGAUGUCGGAUUAGUUAGUUGGCGGGGUAAAGGCCCACCAAGGCGACGAUCCUUAGCUGGUCUGAGAGGAUGAUCAGCCACACUGGAACUGAGACACGGUCCAGACUCCUACGGGAGGCAGCAGUGGGGAAUAUUGGACAAUGGGCGCAAGCCUGAUCCAGCCAUACCGCGUGGGUGAAGAAGGCCUUCGGGUUGUAAAGCCCUUUUGUUGGGAAAGAAAAGCAGCAGGUUAAUACCCCGCUGUUCUGACGGUACCCAAAGAAUAAGCACCGGCUAACUUCGUG